GGGUGAAGCUUAGAGAAAGUCUCAAAGAUGCUUAAAUUAAUUAUCUCCAUAAUCAUAACAUUGUGGAUGAUUUCAUCGUCACGGGGACAUAUUGGAGGUCAGAUAUCUAUUCAGGAUAUCAGAGAUAUAAAACCCCAGCAGUACUGCGGUCCGGUAUUGUCGAAAGCUUUGGCACUUAUCUGUUACGUCGAGAAAGAAAAAGUUGGCAAACGUGCUGGACAUAAUUCCAUCUAUAUUCCAGAUGUAAUCACGCCACCCCCUUACAAAGACGGAGUGGUACCUUAUUGGCCCUGGAUGUCAGCUGAGAAGGCAAGAAGUAUGGGAUUACAAGCGCGCGGGAAACGAUUUGUAGUCGACGAAUGCUGCUUCAAAGCUUGUAGUAUUGACGAGCUCAUGUUAUACUGUUAAAUACAUUAAC
Long non-coding RNA from Papilio polytes (common Mormon), 418 nucleotides. RefSeq lists it as uncharacterized. Lineage: Eukaryota; Metazoa; Arthropoda; Insecta; Lepidoptera; Papilionidae. The transcript has 3 exons. The record is from RefSeq and is a predicted model, not a curated record.